RNAcentral lists this ribosomal RNA (617 nucleotides) under Burkholderia sp. IBa213. Its description in RNAcentral is "bacterial SSU rRNA". It matches the Rfam family "Bacterial small subunit ribosomal RNA", at positions 391 to 1001 of the family's 1533-position model. RNAcentral also lists the same sequence under 2 other names. Lineage: Bacteria; Pseudomonadati; Pseudomonadota; Betaproteobacteria; Burkholderiales; Burkholderiaceae. The record is from RNAcentral.
GCAAUGCCGCGUGUGUGAAGAAGGCCUUCGGGUUGUAAAGCACUUUUGUCCGGAAAGAAAUCCUUGGCUCUAAUACAGUCGGGGGAUGACGGUACCGGAAGAAUAAGCACCGGCUAACUACGUGCCAGCAGCCGCGGUAAUACGUAGGGUGCGAGCGUUAAUCGGAAUUACUGGGCGUAAAGCGUGCGCAGGCGGUUUGCUAAGACCGAUGUGAAAUCCCCGGGCUCAACCUGGGAACUGCAUUGGUGACUGGCAGGCUAGAGUAUGGCAGAGGGGGGUAGAAUUCCACGUGUAGCAGUGAAAUGCGUAGAGAUGUGGAGGAAUACCGAUGGCGAAGGCAGCCCCCUGGGCCAAUACUGACGCUCAUGCACGAAAGCGUGGGGAGCAAACAGGAUUAGAUACCCUGGUAGUCCACGCCCUAAACGAUGUCAACUAGUUGUUGGGGAUUCAUUUCCUUAGUAACGUAGCUAACGCGUGAAGUUGACCGCCUGGGGAGUACGGUCGCAAGAUUAAAACUCAAAGGAAUUGACGGGGACCCGCACAAGCGGUGGAUGAUGUGGAUUAAUUCGAUGCAACGCGAAAAACCUUACCUACCCUUGACAUGGUCGGAAUCCUGC